RNAcentral lists this non-coding RNA (736 nucleotides) under Stenatkina angustata. The record is from RNAcentral. Lineage: Eukaryota; Metazoa; Arthropoda; Insecta; Hemiptera; Cicadellidae.
AUUUAUAAAAGUUUGAUUCUUGCUUUCAAAUUAUCUUUUUAAAUUAAUUAUAUGAAUAUUAUUAAAAUAUUUUUUUUCAGUAAUUUGUUUUAUAAAAUAUUUUAGAAUUUUUUAGAAAUUUAAUAAUAAUAGAUAAAUUUUGUGCCAGCAUUCGCGGUUAUACAAUUUAUUAAAGUUAAUUUUUUUUAGAAUAAUUUAUUAAUAAUAAUUUUGAAUAAAAUAUUAUUUUAUUUAGGUGGAAUUUAUAUAUUUUUUUUAUUCUUAUUUUUUUAUAAAAAGUCUUUAAAUAAACUAGGAUUAGAUACCCUAUUAUAUAAGAUUAAAUAUUUAUUUCUAGAAUAUUAAUAGUUAAGUUCUAUAAAACUCAAAGAAUUUGGCGGUGAUUUAUUUUUCUAGAGGAAUCUGUAUUUUAAUUGAUAAACCACAAUAAUUUUUACCUUAAAUUAAUUUGUAUAUCGCUAUAAUUUGGAAUGUUUUAAAAGAAAAAUUUUCUUUUUUUUAAAAAAUUUAUAUUAGGUCAAGGUGCAGUUUUGUUAAGGUUAAUAUGGAUUACUUUAUUUUUAAUUUUUCUUGGAUAUAAUUUUUAUAGUUUUAUUAAAAUAGGAUUUAGAAGUAAUUUAAAUAAAUUUAUUUUUUUGAAUUUUACCCUAAAUUAUGUACAUAUCGCCCGUCACUCCUAUUAAUAUAGGAUAAGUCGUAACAAAGUAGUUGUACCGGAAGGUGUAUCUAGUUUGAU